AUGGAGAAGCCCGCGGCGCAGGCACCGGGGAAGGCGGCUUCAGAGGAGAAGCAGCUUGACGACAAGGAGCUGGAGCUAGAGCGGGAGCGGAAACUGAAGAAAGAGCAGAAGGCUAGAGAGAAAGAGGAGAAAAAGCUCAAGGCAAAGCAAAAGGAGACUGCUAGGCUCCAGGCUCAAGCAACAUCGGAUGGACCUAAGAAAAGUGAGAAGAAGCAAAAGAAGAAGGCUGCGGGGGAUGAAAACCCCGAGGAUUUCAUUGACCCUGAGACCCCUAGUGGGGAGAAGAAAUCGCUUGCACCUCAAAUGGCUAAGCAGUAUAGCCCAAGUGCAGUUGAAAAAUCGUGGUACUCCUGGUGGGAGUCAGCAGGAUAUUUUGGGGCAGACCCUGCAAGCACAAAACCACCUUUUGUUAUAGUUCUACCACCUCCGAAUGUGACUGGAGCGCUUCAUAUUGGUCAUGCACUUACAGUGGCUAUAGAGGACGCUAUGAUAAGGUGGAGGAGAAUGUCGGGAUAUAAUGCUCUGUGGGUCCCAGGAGUGGACCAUGCUGGAAUUGCUACACAGGUUGUAGUGGAAAAGAAGCUAAUGCGUGAAAGGAAGCUGACAAGGCAUGACAUAGGCCGUGACAAAUUUAUAUCUGAAGUUCUGAAAUGGAAAGAUCAGUACGGUGGUACCAUACUGGGUCAAUUACGUAGGCUUGGGGCUUCGCUUGAUUGGUCCCGUGAGUGUUUCACAAUGGAUGAACAACGAUCGAAAGCUGUAACCGAAGCAUUUGUUAGGUUGCACAAAGAUGGCCUAAUUUAUAGGGACUACCGCCUUGUGAAUUGGGACUGCACACUUUUAACAGCAAUAUCUGACAUAGAGGUGGAUCAUCUAGAGCUUAAAGAGGAAACUAUGCUGAAGGUCCCUGGUUAUAGUAGUCCUGUACAGUUUGGUGUGUUGAUAUCCUUUGCCUAUCCUCUUGAAGAAGGACUAGGUGAAAUUAUUGUCGCAACAACAAGAAUUGAAACAAUGCUCGGUGAUACGGCAAUAGCUGUUCAUCCUGAGGAUAAAAGGUAUAAGCAUCUGCAUGGAAAGCAUGCCAUUCACCCGUUCAAUGGCCGAAAACUCAAAAUAAUCUGCGAUGCGGUGUUAGUGGAUCCCACUUUCGGUACUGGGGCUGUCAAGAUUACACCUGCCCAUGACCCAAAUGACUUUGAGGUUGGAAAACGACACAACCUAGAGUUCAUCAAUAUCUUCACAGAUGAUGGGAAGAUAAACAGCAAUGGAGGUGCACAAUUUGAAGGAAUGCCAAGAUUUGCUGCUCGGGUUGCAGUUAUUGAUGCACUGAAGGAAAAGGGGUUGUACAAGGACACAAAAAAGAAUGAAAUGAAUUUGGGCAUUUGUUCAAGAAGUAAUGAUGUAGUGGAACCUAUGAUAAAGCCUCAAUGGUUUGUUAAUUGCCAUACGAUGGCAAAGGCAGGUCUUGAUGCUGUAAGAUCCAAAAAAAUUGAGAUUAUUCCGCAACAAUAUGAACAAGACUGGUACAGAUGGCUUGAAAAUAUACGCGAUUGGUGUGUUUCAAGGCAACUCUGGUGGGGACAUCGUGUACCUGCGUGGUAUGUGACACUAGAAGAUGAGCAAUUGAAUGAUCUGGGAUCAAACAAUGACCGUUGGAUAGUCGCAAGGAAUGAAUGUGAUGCAAUGCUUGAGGCACAGAAAAAGUAUCCGGGGAAGAAAUUCCAGUUAAAUCAAGACCCUGACGUUUUGGAUACUUGGUUUUCAUCUGGUCUCUUCCCAUUGACAGUGCUUGGUUGGCCAGAUGAUACUGCUGAUCUUCGUGCUUUCUACCCUACUUCAGUACUUGAAACUGGACUUGAUAUUCUCUUCUUCUGGGUGGCACGUAUGGUGAUGAUGGGUAUGCAACUUGGUGGUGAUGUGCCAUUUCAGAAGGUGUAUUUGCAUCCUAUGAUCCGUGAUGCACAUGGCCGCAAAAUGUCCAAGUCACUUGGUAAUGUUGUUGAUCCCCUCGAGGUGAUAAAUGGUACGACACUGGAAGAUCUCCUGAAACGUUUGGAAGAAGGCAACCUGGAUCAAAAUGAGUUAAGUGUUGCAAGAGAAGGGAAGAAGAAAGAUUUUCCUGAUGGCAUUGCUGAAUGUGGCACUGAUGCACUCCGUUUCGCACUGAUUUCUUACACUUCUCAGUCUGACAAGAUAAAUCUUGAUAUCAAGAGGGUUGUUGGAUAUCGCCAAUGGUGCAAUAAAUUGUGGAAUGCCAUUCGUUUUGCAAUGGGCAAACUUGGCGAUCAUUAUACUCCACCAGCAACCAUUGUUGUGUCUUCAAUGCCCCCGGUCUGCAAAUGGAUACUCUCGGUACUUAACAAGGCUAUUGGCAAGACUGUGACCUCAUUAGAAGCAUACAAGUUCGCCGAUGCAACAUCUGCUAUUUACUCAUGGUGGCAAUACCAGCUAUGUGAUGUAUUUAUAGAAGCUGUAAAACCUUACUUCUUCAAUGACUCUCAAGAGUUCGAUUCAGCAAGAGCUGCUUGUAGAGAUGCCCUAUGGGUUUGCCUCGACAAUGGUUUGCGUCUGCUCCACCCAUUCAUGCCUUAUGUAACAGAAGAACUCUGGCAGCGUCUUCCUCAGCCCAAAGAUUCUUGCAGAAAAAAUUCCAUCAUGAUAUCAGAAUAUCCAUCUGUUGUUCAGGAAUGGGCAGAUGAUAAACUUGAAAGUGAAUUUAGUAUUAUCUUGGAUACUGUGAACAAACUAAGAUCUCUGAAGCCACCAACAGAUACAAAUGAGAGGCGACCUGCUUUUGCACUUUGUCGAGGCGAAGAUAUUGCUGCCACUGUUCAGUGCUAUCAAUCUCUAGUGGUGUCUCUUUCUUCUGUAUCGUCACUUAAGAUCCUGGCAGAGAGUGACGAAACUCCACCUGACUGUUCGACUGCUGUUGUCAACAAAGAUCUGUCCGUAUACCUUCAGCUUCAAGGAGCUCUAAACGCGGAAGUGGAGCUCGAAAAGCUAAGGAAAAAGAGGGAUGAAAUCCAAAAGCUACAGCAUGCCCUUUCUCAGAAGAUGGAAGCGUCCGGUUACAGAGAGAAGGCCCCGCCCAGCGUCCAAGAGGAGGACAUGAGGAAACUCACUGCCUUUUUCGAGCAACUGCGGGUGAUUGGUGAAGCUGAGAAGAAACUAGAUGCGUAA
This 3180-nucleotide ribosomal RNA is filed under the name Triticum aestivum (bread wheat). Its description in RNAcentral is "partial small subunit ribosomal RNA". Lineage: Eukaryota; Viridiplantae; Streptophyta; Magnoliopsida; Poales; Poaceae. The record is from RNAcentral.